GACGAACGCUGGCGGCGUGCUUAACACGUGCAAGUCGAACGGAAAGGCCCUGCUUUUGUGGGGUGCUCGAGUGGCGAACGGGUGAGUAACACGUGAGUAACCUGCCCUUGACUUUGGGAUAACUUCAGGAAACUGGGGCUAAUACCGGAUAGGAGCUCCUGCUGCAUGGUGGGGGUUGGAAAGUUUCGGCGGUUGGGGAUGGACUCGCGGCUUAUCAGCUUGUUGGUGGGGUAGUGGCUUACCAAGGCUUUGACGGGUAGCCGGCCUGAGAGGGUGACCGGCCACAUUGGGACUGAGAUACGGCCCAGACUCUUACGGGAGGCAGCAGUGGGGAAUAUUGCACAAUGGGCGGAAGCCUGAUGCAGCAACGCCGCGUGCGGGAUGACGGCCUUCGGGUUGUAAACCGCUUUCGCCUGUGACGAAGCGUGAGUGACGGUAAUGGGUAAAGAAGCACCGGCUAACUACGUG
This 468-nucleotide ribosomal RNA is filed under the name uncultured bacterium. Its description in RNAcentral is "partial 16S ribosomal RNA". It matches the Rfam family "Bacterial small subunit ribosomal RNA", at positions 28 to 507 of the family's 1533-position model. The record is from RNAcentral.